This 386-nucleotide ribosomal RNA is filed under the name Chlamydomonas sp. Its description in RNAcentral is "partial small subunit ribosomal RNA". It matches the Rfam family "Eukaryotic small subunit ribosomal RNA", at positions 582 to 975 of the family's 1831-position model. Lineage: Eukaryota; Viridiplantae; Chlorophyta; Chlorophyceae; Chlamydomonadales; Chlamydomonadaceae. The record is from RNAcentral.
AUUCCAGCUCCAAUAGCGUAUAUUUAAGUUGCUGCAGUUAAAAAGCUCGUAGUUGGAUUUCGGGCGGUUGACGACGGUCCGCCUCUGGUGUGCACUGCCGUUCUUCCGCCUUUCUGUCGGGGACGUGCUCCUAGGCUUCAUUGUCUGGGACACGGGUUCGACGUGGUUACUUUGAGUAAAUUAGAGUGUUCAAAGCAGGCAUCGCCUUGAAUAUAUUAGCAUGGAAUAGCACGAUAGGACUCUGGCCUAUUUUGCUGGUCUGUAGGACCGGUGUAAUGAUUAAUAGGGACAGUUGGGGGUAUUCGUAUUUCAUUGUCAGAGGUGAAAUUCUUGGAUUUUUGAAAGACGAACUACUGCGAAAGCAUUUACCAGGGAUGUUUUCAUCA